GAAACCCACGCCGCCAGCGCCACCCCUGCUUCGUCUCCCAGUGCCGGACGAAACCAACUGCAUCGCGCCUCCUCUUCCAGUUCAUGGCCUCCUCCGGCAAUUACCGGUCAUCGUUCUGAUUUGGUUUCACGUUGUGUUGGGUACUUGGCGUCUUGAAUUUUUAUGAAAGGUCAGAUGACUGGAUCAGUGUCAAACGGCCGUGGAUUAGCCUUCAAGUGAGGAAUAAGUACUGGAGACACUAAGAUUAAUGAUUAAUGAUGCACCGGCAUUCCCUCAAAGAGAAAAGAGUACUGAUGCAUCAGCUAUGCUGCUAUACGAAGCUCCCUCUGGCAUCACGCUUUUCUCUUUUGAUGGGGGCUACCUCCAUGAUUUAGUGAAGGACUUCUCGGCAUGCUUGCCACUGCUUAGUUUGGUAAUAUCCAUGAAGUAUGAGAAGGUGCCCACCCCCAUUGACCUUGUUAAUGAGGCUAUUGACGAUCGUCUGGCCAAGAGGCUAAUCAAGCUAUGUGGUUCUGAGAAGAAAUUAGUGUCGGAAGUGCUGAAUAUAAAAGACUAAUUGAAACAAAGCUGGCAAUAACCUGUCUGUAUGUUGAGGUUCCAGAUUGCGAAGUGAUAAUUCGCAGUCUGAAGAAUCCCAUGCGGUCAGUGAAGAUUAAUGUUGCAUUGGCUAUGCUGCUAUACCAAGCACCCUCUGGCAUGGCAAUUUUCUGUUUUCAUGGGGCGUACCUCACCACUCCAGUGAAGGAUUUCUGGGCGUCCUGGCCACAACUUAGUCUGAUAGUAUUUAUAAAGGUGGAGAAGAUGCCCACACCAAUUGACCUUGUUAACGAGGUCAUUGACGGUCACCUAGUCAAGAGGCUCAGGCAGCUGUGUGGUUCUGGAAGGAAAUUAGUUGUGGGAAGUGUUGAAUAUAAAAGAAUAAUUGAAUCGAGACUGGUUGGUAUAACUUAUAGUAUUUAGGGAAUAACCUGUCUGCAUGUUGAUGUUCCGGAUUGUGAGGUGAUAAUUUGCAGUCUGAACAAGCCCAUGUGUCUUUUAGUGCCUGAAGAACAAUUUGAGCCGGACAAAGAUUUAGAAUUAUUCUUACAUCAACGUGACUUUGACGUCAAGCUAGAGAUGGUUGAAAAAAUCUAUGAAGGAGACUGCCUAUCUCUUGCAUGAUACUGAAUCAUGUGAAAAGAAGUAUUUGAUGUUCUUUCGACUUCUUCUAAAGGAUUUUAUUCUUACAUCUGAAAUUGACACCGAGGAUUGGGUUUUAAUCCAGUUUGCAACGGCUUUGAAGAUGAUAUGUUACCCUGGAGCAUCGUAUAAAGUCUUACCCCCUGAUGAGAUUUUCUCAUUUGACGAGUGCUCAAAGAUAGAGGGUCAUGCACCUGGAUAUAAAAGAAGAUUUUCAAAGAUUGAUGUCUUGUCUAUCUACAAACAUGUUGCUAGACUCAGUUCAAAAAAGUGCAUACUAAUGGUCAAAUUGGAUAUCUGGAUUACGAAGGCUAAAGAAGUGCGGGAGAAGGCAGACGUCAGAGAUUAAGCGACCAUCAUUUUCGGGGAAACUCAAUAGGACUGAUUUAUGUACCGGCUCCAAAGUUGGCGAAGAAGCUAGUAAUAUGGAGACGUGUUACCUUUCCAAAACAGAUGGAAACGUGUUGUCUCUCUCAGCAGGAAAUUAAUCUCCCAGGUCGAUCAGGGAAGGGAUGCUUCGUUC
This is a long non-coding RNA of Triticum aestivum (bread wheat), 1702 nucleotides long. RefSeq lists it as uncharacterized. NCBI's taxonomy places the organism in Eukaryota, Viridiplantae, Streptophyta, Magnoliopsida, Poales, Poaceae. The transcript has 10 exons. The record is from RefSeq and is a predicted model, not a curated record.